CACACACAUGUAGAUUUGGUCCAACUCAUCAUCCAAUUCUUACUCGAACCACUUCUAUUUGCUUUAUUUGAGUCACUUCUUCCACAAAGCUUUUGAUUUCCCAACAUUGCAUCAUUAGUUGACAAGUGAUCGUUGCGAGGAUUAGAAGCUUCGAUAGACAUUGUGUACUUUAUAGUAGUUUUUAACAAUGUUAACUAGCUUGGGUAUAGGUGAUAGGUAUCUGUAUAUGUUUUCUGUGGCUCAUUAGUUUGGAUUUAUCACUAGUUAGGGUGGAGUUGUGGGAACAUGACAAUUCAAGAAUUAAGUAUUUAUAAAGAGUUAUAACAACCUGUAAGUCUGUAACUUAUUUUGUUCAGAAAAUAGGACCCAAAUUUCAAUCUUAUAAACAGGUUUGCUGUCAAAUGUUUUGUGAAGCUGUUGAGAUCCACAUAUAUGAAUAUCCCUUAUACCUAAGAAGUGACAGGGAGAGAGGGAUCACCCUCUUAAUGGUUGUUUGAAUAACAUAUUCGCUCCAUGUAUGUAGAUCACCAAAUGUAUUAACUUCUAUGCAGCAUGGAAGGCAAGCAUUCGUUUCUGUGCCUAGCACUUUUCCUGUGCCUGGAGAAGAACUGAUGUUUUGAUGAUUGUAAGAGGGGCAAGGAGAAGCUUGUUUGUGAUGCUGCUCAAGUACUGCUUUAUUUCGGAGUUGAACAAAUCAUCUAUGUUUCUGAAAUGACGCACUGCUAAAUAAAGGUCUACACUCCGAGGAAUGCGCCUAUACUAGUGAGGAAAUUGAUGUGGUUCGUGAGCAACGGGCUAAGUGUUUUACCCGCAAGUAUUUACUAUUGGCUUGAGCGCGCUUGAUCGAGGUGGUUUAGUUGUUAUAGAACAAUCGUUUACAUUAAAAUGUAUGCGUACAUUGAAAUUGGAACGUAUAUUUGAAUGUAGUACGUGCACUUUGGUUUUGGGAUAUAUAUAUAUGUAUACAAAACACCAGUUAUUAUUUUUUAUAUUUGUUGA
Long non-coding RNA from Spinacia oleracea (spinach), 999 nucleotides. RefSeq lists it as uncharacterized. The transcript is spliced from 2 exons. The record is from RefSeq and is a predicted model, not a curated record. Lineage: Eukaryota; Viridiplantae; Streptophyta; Magnoliopsida; Caryophyllales; Amaranthaceae.